UACGGAGGGUGCGAGCGUUGUCCGGAAUCACUGGGCGUAAAGGGCGCGUAGGUGGCUCAGCAAGUGUGUGGUGAAAGCCCGGAGCCUAACUCCGGGUCGGCCAUGCAAACUGCUGUGGCUAGAGGACUGUAGAGGCAGGUAGAAUUCCGGGUGUAGCGGUGGAAUGCGUAGAGAUCCGGAAGAAUACCGGUGGCGAAGGCGGCCUGCUGGGCAGUUUCUGACACUGAGGCGCGACAGCGUGGGGAGCAAACAGG
This 254-nucleotide ribosomal RNA is filed under the name uncultured bacterium. RNAcentral's name for it is "partial 16S ribosomal RNA". It matches the Rfam family "Bacterial small subunit ribosomal RNA", at positions 524 to 776 of the family's 1533-position model. The record is from RNAcentral.